Molecule: long non-coding RNA, 885 nt
Organism: Daphnia carinata
Lineage: Eukaryota; Metazoa; Arthropoda; Branchiopoda; Diplostraca; Daphniidae
Exons: 3
Source: RefSeq, a predicted model, not a curated record
UCGAACCCUCCUCCAGUCCUUGAUCUGGACCAUCACUUCCAAUCCGAAAUGGUGAUUUUUCCAACCACAGUAACAAGUUAUCCAAUCCUUUUUUGUCAAUGCCGAAUAUGCGGUCAAUAAUGUAUUUGGCAUUCAUUAUUAGACCCUGGAAGAUCUUCUGUCACGUAGACCACGCAGACUACGUGACUUCAAAGAAUUUCAAGAAAGCGUCUCCAAAAAUUAACGUUGUUGUAGAUAAAGUCUAGCUCGCCCUGUCCAUUUACUACGUAGGCACCUGCACCUGCUAACCGGAUUUAACAUUUAAAAAUUAAAAAAAAUACUUAUAGGGUAAAAUUUAGAAAUAUCUGUGGACUUGUACAGACAUUGAACAACUUUUGAAGGCUUCUCUUUAUGGGUGAGAAAAUGAAGCAAUCAUUGACUUAAUAGGAGUGUGUAUGACUAAAAUCAAGACAGGUUUGGACUUGCACUGGUUUCAGCUGCUUUGAACAAAUGUAAUCCGCUAAAUAUAGCUAAAUUACUGGCUACAUUGCCGUACCAGUUCUGAUGGAUAGACAGUCCUCCGUCUCUUGGAUUCUUGGGAAGAUAAACAACCACUCGGACAUGUUAACUGAUGGAUGGUAUUCAAACGUAAGCGGGCAAGGACGCUAUCACCCGGGAUUUGGCUCGUGCUGCAGCUUAAUCAAAAUAAUCCAUUUUGUGGAACAAGAGCAAAAGUAGUUCUGGCGGUUGUUAAACGACAAUUCCACCCAGACAAGAUAGUACAUACAACACGACGAGACCCAAACAAGUCAAAUGGCGAUCAAGGAUAACCAUCGUUCUUCAGAAACAAGAACUGGAUUGUGCGGGGAUGAAUCCGGGUGACUUCACCCAUGGGCAAUUGCCUCC